UGAUGUCAGAGUGAUCUGGGUUGUCAUCUGUCACCUUCUUGAUCUCCAGGGUUGGCCCUGGCUGGCUAGGAGGGUGUCCCCUUCCUCUCUCAUCCUCUCAUGUGUGGCCCUCUCAAAGCUACACGCUCUCAAAGGAGGUCGCCCUUCCCCAAUAGAGGAAGGAUUGUCUCCAGACAAAGAUGUUGGGCGUCGACUCCAUAGCUGGAGCUACUAAUCAGGCUCUCAAGGCGAAGUGACACUGGCAACGGAAACAAAAAGGCCCAGGAAUCUGUCUCAGGUGACCCUGGAGCU
This 291-nucleotide small nuclear RNA is filed under the name Jaculus jaculus (lesser Egyptian jerboa). Its description in RNAcentral is "7SK RNA (ENSJJAG00000008463.1)". It matches the Rfam family "7SK RNA". From Rfam's summary of the family: 7SK was discovered as an abundant small nuclear RNA in the mid-70s but a possible function has only recently been suggested. Two independent studies have found that 7SK RNA binds the CDK9/cyclin T complex (known as elongation factor P-TEFb). Lineage: Eukaryota; Metazoa; Chordata; Mammalia; Rodentia; Dipodidae. The record is from Rfam by way of RNAcentral.